This 513-nucleotide ribosomal RNA is filed under the name uncultured bacterium. RNAcentral's name for it is "partial 16S ribosomal RNA". It matches the Rfam family "Bacterial small subunit ribosomal RNA", at positions 28 to 523 of the family's 1533-position model. The record is from RNAcentral.
GAUGAACGCUGACGGCGUGCCUAAUACAUGCAAGUCGAGCGAACAGAUGAAGUGCUUGCACUUCUGAUGUUAGCGGCGAACGGGUGAGUAACACGUAAGGAAUCUACCUAUAAGCGGGGGAUAACAUUCGGAAACGGGUGCUAAUACCGCAUAAUAUCUUCUUCCGCGUGGAAGAAGAUUGAAAGACGGCUCUGCUGUCACUUAUAGAUGACCUUGCGGUGCAUUAGUUAGUUGGUGGGGUAAUGGCCUACCAAGACAAUGAUGCAUAGCCGACCUGAGGGGGUGAUCGGCCACAUUGGGAACGAGGAAAGGCCCAAAAUCCUACGGGAAGCAGCAGUAGGGAAUCUUCCGCAAUGGGCGAAAGCCUGACGGAGCAAUGCCGCGUGAGUGAAGAAGGCCUUCGGGUCGUAAAACUCUGUUAUAAGAGAAGAACAAAUUGUAGAGUAACUGCUACAGUCUUGACGGUAUCUUAUCAGAAAGCCACGGCUAACUACGUGCCAGCAGCCGCAGUAA